UACGGAGGGUGCCAGCGUUGUUCGGAAUCACUGGGCGUAAAGCGCGUGUAGGCGGCCUCUUAAGUCUGGUGUGAAAGCCCGGGGCUCACCCCCGGAAGGGCACUGGAUACUGGGAGGCUAGAGUACCGGAGAGGAGGGUGGAAUUCCUGGUGUAGCGGUGAAAUGCGUAGAUAUCAGGAGGAACACCGGUGGCGAAGGCGGCCCUCUGGACGGCUACUGACGCUGAGACGCGAAAGCGUGGGGAGCGAAAGGG
This 253-nucleotide ribosomal RNA is filed under the name uncultured bacterium. RNAcentral's name for it is "partial 16S ribosomal RNA". It matches the Rfam family "Bacterial small subunit ribosomal RNA", at positions 524 to 776 of the family's 1533-position model. The record is from RNAcentral.